GAAAUGCGAUAAGUAAUGUGAAUUGCAGAAUUCAGUGAAUCAUCGAAUCUUUGAACGCACAUUGCGCCCGCCAGUAUUCUGGCGGGCAUGCCUGUUCGAGCGUCAUUACAACACUCAGGCCCCCGGGCCUGGCGUUGGGGAUCGGCGGAAGCCCCCUGCGGGCACAACGCCGUCCCCCAAAUACAGUGGCGGUCCCGCCGCAGCUUCCAUUGCGUAGUAGCUAACACCUCGCAACUGGAGAGCGGCGCGGCCACGCCGUAAAACACCCAACUUCUGAAUGUUGACCUCGAAUCAGGUAGGAAUACCCGCUGAACUUAAGC
RNAcentral lists this unclassified non-coding RNA (320 nucleotides) under plant metagenome. RNAcentral's name for it is "partial contains 5.8S ribosomal RNA, internal transcribed spacer 2, and large subunit ribosomal RNA". The stretch from base 1 to 105 matches the Rfam family "5.8S ribosomal RNA", at positions 50 to 154 of the family's 154-position model. The record is from RNAcentral.